GCAGAUGAAGGAAUUUGGAGUUGGAGAGUCAUGGAUGAAAUUGCUUAAAUUUGAUUCACAUGGAGUUGUUAAUAUGUUGCCAUUACAUGUUUUCGAGAAUGGAGAUACGCUGAUAUUUGCGAGCUGUCCUAACGAAAUAACUUGCUAUAAUAGCAGAGAAAAUAGACUAGUAAGGCAAACUACAGUUACAAAUAGCAUACAUAUAAAUUGGUUUAAUGUGACCCAUUACGUUGAAAGUUUGGUUUCAACCUAUUGAAAGUAAGUUCCUUUCCUGCAAUCAUUUACUUGUUUUAGUUUCUCUUAUCAUACCUUUGGUUUUAUUGUAGUUCUGAAUAUUUAUUCUAACUUGUAUUAUUUUCAUUUGCUUCAAAACAUUGUUACAGUUGUUAUGUUGAAUAAACCGGAUGAUUCUGCUACCUUGAUUAGAACUCAGUUAUAUGUGCAUUAACACGUUUUUGCUAAUUAAUAUUGUUCACAUGGGUAGUUUAUAAAGUAUGUCAUUUUGAGUAUUGAGUAUGUUCUGCCAGUUAAACUGUUUUGUUUUCAGCAACAAUAUUGAUUUUCAUGUUUUAGUAAACCAAUGUAUAACAAGGUUUCUGUGGGCAAUUAUUUUGUAUCAGGAAGGAAAAUGAAGAUCGGGGCAAAGAGGAGGACAUGUCGAGGGAACAUGAUUCAGCUACAAAUGAUUCACCAUUGUAGCUUAUAAAACUUCAAUUUGUCCAAAUGCUACCACUUUUAGAUGGCUACUUCAUGGAAUUUUCAAAAUGUAUUGG
This 773-nucleotide long non-coding RNA is filed under the name Lathyrus oleraceus (garden pea). RNAcentral describes it as "Pisum sativum (pea) long non-coding RNA (PSAT_LNC000289)". Lineage: Eukaryota; Viridiplantae; Streptophyta; Magnoliopsida; Fabales; Fabaceae. The record is from RNAcentral.